RNAcentral lists this ribosomal RNA (848 nucleotides) under uncultured bacterium. RNAcentral's name for it is "bacterial SSU rRNA". It matches the Rfam family "Bacterial small subunit ribosomal RNA", at positions 28 to 896 of the family's 1533-position model. The record is from RNAcentral.
GAUUAACGCUGGCGGCGUGCAUGAGACAUGCAAGUCGAACGGACGAGUGGGCUUGCUCACUCGUUAGUGGCGGACGGCUGAGUAACGCGUAGGUGACCUGCCCCGAGGUGGGGAAUAACUGCCCGAAAGGGUGGCUAAUACCGCAUGUGGUGCCACGUUCAUUCGUGUCUCCAAAGCCGCAAGGCGCUUCGGGAGGGGCCUGCGUCCGAUUAGCUCGUUGGUGGGGUAAUGGCUCACCAAGGCGACGAUCGGUAGGUGGUCUGAGAGGACGAUCACCCAGACUGGGACUGAGACACGGCCCAGACUCCUACGGGAGGCAGCAGUCGGGAAUUUUGCUCAAUGGGCGCAAGCCUGAAGCAGCAACGCCGUGUGGGGGAUGACGGCCUUCGGGUUGUAAACCUCUUUUCCCGGGGACGAUAAUGACGGUACUCGGGGAAUAAGUCACGGCUAACUACGUGCCAGCAGCCGCGGUAAUACGUAGGUGACGAGCGUUGUCCGGAUUUACUGGGCGUAAAGAGCGCGCAGGCGGUCGUACAAGUCGAGUGUGAAAUCCCCCGGCUCAACUGGGGAACGUCGCUCGAUACUGUUCGACUUGAAGGCGGGAGAGGGAAGCGGAAUUCCCGGUGUAGUGGUGAAAUGCGUAGAUAUCGGGAGGAACACCAGUGGCGAAGGCGGCUUUCUGGCCCGUUCUUGACGCUGAGGCGCGAAAGCUAGGGUAGCAAACGGGAUUAGAUACCCCGGUAGUCCUAGCCGUAAACGAUGGACACUAGGUGUUGGUGGUAUCAACCCCGCCAGUGCCGAAGCUAACGCAUUAAGUGUCCCGCCUGGGGAGUACGGCCGCAAGGCUA